This 451-nucleotide ribosomal RNA is filed under the name uncultured bacterium. RNAcentral describes it as "partial 16S ribosomal RNA". It matches the Rfam family "Bacterial small subunit ribosomal RNA", at positions 354 to 796 of the family's 1533-position model. The record is from RNAcentral.
GUGGGGAAUAUUGGACAAUGGGGGGAACCCUGAUCCAGCCAUGCCGCGUGUGUGAAGAAGGCCUUUUGGUUGUAAAGCACUUUAAGCGAGGAGGAGGCUACCGAGAUUAAUACUCUUGGAUAGUGGACGUUACUCGCAGAAUAAGCACCGGCUAACUCUGUGCCAGCAGCCGCGGUAAUACAGAGGGUGCAAGCGUUAAUCGGAUUUACUGGGCGUAAAGCGCGCGUAGGUGGCAAAUUAAGUCAAAUGUGAAAUCCCCGAGCUUAACUUGGGAAUUGCAUUCGAUACUGGUUGGCUAGAGUAUGGGAGAGGAUGGUAGAAUUCCAGGUGUAGCGGUGAAAUGCGUAGAGAUCUGGAGGAAUACCGAUGGCGAAGGCAGCCAUCUGGCCUAAUACUGACACUGAGGUGCGAAAGCAUGGGGAGCAAACAGGAUUAGAAACCCGGGUAGUCC